CGGAGUUUGACCAUAAAGCUCAUCCCAGUGUGUAGGGGAGGAUCUCACAUCCUUUAUAGCUCCCUAGUAUCUUUCCUAAGAGAGAUGUGGAAACGAGCAAGGGAUGUCCUUGGCAACCCAUCCCAGAACUGAAGAAUCUUCAUUUCCAAGAAGUCCUUCUCCACAGUCAACUGGAAUCUCUCGGUCUUUCUGUUCAAAGAUUUACAUAUCACCACCAAACGGCUCCAGAAUUUCUACAGCAGAAAAGGAGCUAAGGGAAAAGGGAAGAAAAUAUGAGACAUGGGAGACUUAAUCGGGGCCAGUAGCAUUGUAUUUCCUGAAGGGAUAAUGUAAAAUGCAUCUGGGAGAGACAGACAGAGUGUCCCUGGCAUCUGAAACUAGUCAAGUUACCCUGAGCCUGAAGAUAGUGACUGAGAACCUACACUGAGAUCUGUGCUAGGUCUACACAGAUGAGUGGAUCCUGGUCUCUGCUCUCACGAAGUUAUGUCAAGUUGGGAGGAUGACAGGUAGAUGGAGAUUUACAAGAUGCACAAUCAACAAGACAACUGUCAUAACAGAAUCACAGAACAUGGUGUGACUUCCAGGAACAAGUGUCUGGCAUGGAUAAGGGCUCAGUAAAUGGUAACCAUCA
This is a non-coding RNA of Equus caballus (horse), 631 nucleotides long. Lineage: Eukaryota; Metazoa; Chordata; Mammalia; Perissodactyla; Equidae. The record is from RefSeq and is a predicted model, not a curated record.